Molecule: long non-coding RNA, 2163 nt
Filed under: Dasypus novemcinctus (nine-banded armadillo)
Lineage: Eukaryota; Metazoa; Chordata; Mammalia; Cingulata; Dasypodidae
Description: lncRNA (ENSDNOG00000052853.1)
Source: RNAcentral
UGGAUUGGAAGAUUAAAUAUCAUUAAAAUGUCAAUUCUACUCAAAUUGAUAUACAGAUUCAAUGCAAACCCGAUAAAAUUUCCACCAACAUUUUUUUAAAAAUUGAAAACAUGAUCAUCAAAUUUAUUUGGAAGGGUAAGGGGUCCUGAAUAGCCAGAAACAUCAUAAAAGGGAAAAGUGAACCCUUAUCUCCAGACUUUAAAUCAUAUUACCUAGCUAGAGUUGUAAAAAUAGCAUGGUACUGACAAAAAGCCAGACACAUAGACCAAUGGAACCAAAUUUAUGGUUCAGAAACAGACCCUCACAAGUAUGGUCAAGUGAUUUUUGACUAGCCUGUCAAACCCACAUAACUCAGGCAGUCCAUUCAACAAAUAGUACUGAGCAAAUUGGAUAUUCAUACCCACAAGAAAGAAAUAGGGUCCCUAUCUAACACCUUAUCCAAAAAUUAACUCAAAAUGGAUCAAAAACUGUUGGGAGCAGUCAAUACGAGUAUACACUGAGCUCAGCAAUGCUGGUAACAUGGCCGCCAGAGCAGAGCCCACUUCCUUGUUCUUCUUCCUCCCUGCUCCUUUGUUCUCCGUUUCCCACCACUACCCAGACUGAUAAGACAGUACGCAGGUGCAAGGCGCGAAACUGAAGUCUGCCUUCCACCCCAGCAACAGCAGCUACCAAUCCCUGAACCCUGCCACUUACCCCAGCAACAGCGAUAGCCAAUCCCUAGCCUCCACCUCCUCGCCUACUGCUCCUCCCCUUCCCAAGAGUAUAUAUGCUUUGUUCCCUCAAUAAAAUUUUGCAGCUUGAUCAGAACACUGUCUUGCUGUCAUUCUUUGUGUCUCUUGUCCCACCAUUCUUUCUCGGUAGGUUUUGAGCCCUCGUUACCAUCCUGCGGGCCGGGACAGACUGGCGCCCAACGUGGGGCUCGACGAUUCCCUGUAAUCGAGAAAAGAACACCGCUUCAUCCAAGGAGGGGAGCGCUCCCUGCAUAUCGGCCGACGAAAGGCCACAUCUCAGCGGUGGAAAGGAGGAUCUCAGCAUCAACCCGUGAAUUCUUCAGUCACUGGCGGUGGCCAAAUGGAAAUGGCACUUUUCAGCUGAGCCCUGAAUCUCAGAAGAAUUGCAACACCUAUUCUCCAGUUCAUUGGACUUACCCAGGCCAACUAGCGGGGAGAUGAUGAUGGACAGCGACCAUCGCAAGGAACUGAGAGAGUCUACAACUGCACGCAAGAGAGUCCCAUCCAUUGGCUUUAUGGGACCGAAGCCCCCUCUCAAUUAGAGGUGGAGUGGGCACCACCAUCCCAGAAUCCUCAGGAUUGGGGAGUGAAUGAUGGACCAGAGUAAACUUACUGUUAUUCUACUAUAGAUUUAUUGUGAUUCUAGCAAUGGAAGAAAUUAUAUCAUUGAUGUGAAGGCAGUGGCCACUGGAAGUUCUGAGGACAGGGAAAAGGAAAAACAGAUGAAAUAUUGGGGCAUUUUCAGGACUUGGGAAUUGUCCUGAAUGACAUUACAACGACAGAUACAGGCCAUUACAUAUCUUGCUAUAACCUACAAAAUCAUGUAGAUGAGAGUGUAAACUAUAAUGUAAACUAUAACCCAUGCUUAGUGGUAAUGCUCCAAAAUGUUUGCAUCAAUUGUAUCGAAUGUACCACACUAAUGAAGAAUGUUGCUAAUGUGGGAAAAUGUGGGAGGUGUAAGGAGCCGAGCAUAUGGGAAUACCCUAUAUUUGUAUGUAAUAUUUACGUAAUCUAAAUAUCUCUUUAAAAAUAAAAUAAAAAAUAACACAGAAGAGGUGGCAUUGGAAUGGGAAAAGUGGACAUAGUGGACGAAGGGUAUGGGGAAAGGCAGGAAGAGAUGAGAGGUGGAGGCGUCUUUGGGACAUGGAGCUGCCCUGGAUGGUACUUCAGAGGCAAUCACCGGACAUUGUAAAUCCUCACAGGGCCCACUGGAUGGAAUGGAGGAGAGUAUGGGCUAUGAUGUGAACCAAUGUAUAUGAGGUGCAGAGGUGCCCAAAGAUGUACUUACCAAAUCCAAUGGAUGUGUCAUGAUGAUGGGAACGAGUGUUGUUGGGGGGGGAGAGGGGGGGUGGGGGGAUGGGGUUGAAUGGGACCUCACAUAUAUAUUUUUAAUGUAAUAUUAUUACAAAGUCAAUAAAAAAAAAUCUGAAAA